Molecule: long non-coding RNA, 5093 nt
Organism: Cercocebus atys (sooty mangabey)
Lineage: Eukaryota; Metazoa; Chordata; Mammalia; Primates; Cercopithecidae
Exons: 2
Source: RefSeq, a predicted model, not a curated record
AAAAAAAAAAAAAGAAAAGAAAAGAAAAAUCACUGGUGUUUUUAUUGGUAUUUCUAGUAUUGGAAAACAACUGGUAUACUUAACAAUAUUUGUUACAUGGCAGAGUAAGAAAGGGAAGAGGAGAAGGGGUUAUCUUACAUGCUCAUGAAUGAAUUAUACUCAGUUCCUUCCUUCAUUGUCUCUUUCCACUUCAGAUCCAGAAAGAAUUAGGAGUGGAGGUAGAAGGGAGAGAUGUCAGGAUAGGGUUACCAUUGAUAUAUGUAGCAUCACAAACUAAUAAAUAACUCAUAAAUCCUCUGCUUCUUCCUCUCCUUCCUUUCUCCUUAUAUUUCCUCAGUAGGAUCAGUGACGAUUUUGAAACAGCCUGGUCUCACAUCACAUUCAGGAGAUUCUGCCUCUGAAUUCUUAACAGCCUGAGAGAUGCAGUUGGGGCUGACCUGCUUGAUCAUAUGCAAAUUAAAAGCAGAUGCUAGUAAUGAGAACAUUCCAGCCAAAAUCCAAAGCUACCCCAGAGGAGUGGAGCAUGAAGACACUUGCUCUAUUGGAACAGUCAUCUAUAUAUUACAGUAGGGGAAAGCCUUGAUCCCAUUCCCAGAAAUCUUCACGACCAUUGAAGAUGAGGUGGUUUCUUCUUGGGUACAGCCCAACCACAUGGGUGGCAGAGGCCAAAGAUGGGCUGAGGGGGCUAAAAGCUACCAUAUCUGCUUCUGACUGCCAAGUGUCUAGAGAGAUCCUUUCAAUGCACUUGUAACAGAUCUCCCCUCCUCCCAGAGAGUGGGGAUGGGAGAGGCCUAAGCCAUACCCAUGCAUUCCAGCUGGUCAAUCAACAGGGAGGCGUUUAGGGGCUCUCGAGCUACCUAAUCACCAGUACUGGUCCACCGUUUGCAGCAAGGUCCUGAAAUCCUCCUCAGAGGUCUACAAAUCCUAACGUACUUGUACUCAAAGGCCAGCUGGGAAACAAAGAACAUGAGCUCAACUUUGUAAAAGGAUCUCUAUCUCCUCACAUUGGAAAAACACAUGAAUGUACCCUACCACUACAGAAGUCAUUUGUACAUGCUCCUUACCUUUCUCUAUCCAGAAUAUUACUAAAGAAAAUGACAAAGGAGACAGGAAUAGGUGAAAUAGUGAGCUUUCUGGUCUCCCCACCAUUUAGCCUAAAAAAUGAAAAUGGACAUGGAAACAUUUAAUUUCAUCCUUAUAACAGAUCUGAUACUCAAUUUUUAAAAAACCUAGUAGUUUAACUACAUAUAAAUUUAGAAAUUUAAUAUUUAUAAUGCAAAUAGGACAUGUUUACAUGGUAAAGGGAAUGAGGUAGGUGAAAGGGAGAUUUGAAGAUAUUGAAGCAAAAAAGUAGACAUCUUUUUUCUCCUAUCAUAUUUUUAUAUGUAAAUAGAGGGAGAUUCUUUCUUAAAACAUGACCACAAUAUUAUUUCACACCUAAGAAGGAACAUUAAUUCUGUAAUAUCAUCAAAUAUAUCCAGGAUAACUUUUUUUUCUUACACUUUGAAUAAGAAUUCAAAGUCCAUAUAUUUUGAUUGUGCAGUAUUUCUUAUAAAUCUCUUUCCAUCUAUAGGUGCCGGAUCCAGGGCAAAAAUGAAGACAUAUGGGACCUUAGGUGACAAGGAAGAAGCUCCCAGGCAGCAUGUGGGAUGGACCCAAGGAGAACGUCAGAGAGAAAGGUUCAGUCUGGUGUCUCCUGAAGCAGGUGGCAGCAUGCUGACGAAGGAGCGUGGAACUGGUGCCUCCAGGACUCAUGACAAGACCUUACGGAGAAAGAAGUCACCCAAGGGCAAAUGACUGGAGUGUGGAAGAGUAUGGAAGAGCUGGACCAAAUCCACAUGGUCCGGUCAGUUCUCCAAACAUCAAGACCCUGUGCGGUGAGGGUGAGCCAUCUCAGCAGAAAGGUAUACCUCCCUGCCCAUGUCACCUCCAACACUUCCAGACCUUCUCUUCCCUCCUUCCCCAAUCCCACCCAAAGCUCCAGUUCCAGCAAAUGUGGGAGUGCAACGAAUGCAAUUAGCUGGGGUGAUGGCAGCAGCCCUGAACUUGGACUCAGAAGACCUGGCUUUAAAUUUCGCCUCCGCACUUACUGGUUGUAUGACCCAAGGCGAUUUACCUCCCCCUCCACUUUCCCCAUCUGUGAAAUGGGGUAAAUAAGAGUCCCACCUGAUUCAAAAGGUUAUGAGGAUGAAAUAUGGUUGAGAGAUGAGAAUCCUUUUAAACUUCUCUGCAAUACUAAUGAUGAUAAUGAUUAAAGUAACUUAGUUGCAAAAUAAUGUGAAUGACAUUACCUGGCCUUUAACCCUUCAGGAAGUGUUUAUUCUUUAAAGGGAAAAGUUUGUCAAACCAAAUGAAUCCUCUUGGUGAACUACACGGAUAACAUAUUUUGGAGAGAGAUGGUAGGCCAGUUCCUGUGACCCUCUCUAACUGAGGCUGGGGCUAGGGAGGGAGGCCCUUUCAUUCUGACCUCAUUUUUGUUUCAAAGGGAAAUGUGGUCUCUCUGAGGGAGGAGGACAGACAGGCAGUAUAACUUCUCACGUCUUUGUGCAUCAUUUUUAUUAGUUCCUGGCCCACAUUUUUAAAAAAGAAUAUUUACUCUUAAAUGACACACUUUAAAAGCAUGCUUUUCUAAAUGGCAGCAAUUGGACCCCAUGGUGUGGCCAGUGCAUUCAGUCUGAAAACCCUAUGGUGACACAUCACUGUGGUCCUGUGGAGAUGGGUCCUGUGGCGAUGUAUGUCUUCCUUCUCCUCUAGUUAGCGCCCUGUGAGCUGGGAGAUUCAAAUCUGAUAGCAGCUUGAAAGCUUCAAACCUAGAGUCCUCCAAGCUGGGAAGCUGAAUUGCUGCUCUAGGGCUGCGUUUAGAUUGAUUUUCUGAAUGCUGUCACUGCAGAGGAGCUAGUCAACUUUUCUCAAAAUAUUUUUCUCAUCUUUUUCACUUUCCUCUCUCCAGUUUGACAUACGGAGUUAUAAAUGUACUUUCUGGUUUUGUUUUAUGCCUUGAUUUUUAUUUCUGAUGAUUCUAUCAAGCUGACUGCCUUCAAUGUUUUCUCUAUUUAGGAAAAUGCACUACUUCCUGUAUUCCUCACCUCCCUCCACCAGAGAUUCACUCUCCUGGCCCACGCCUUGUGCCUGGCACACAGGAGCAUUGGAGAUGCCCCAUACCUAAAGUCCAUACCUUAAUGUCUUGAAAUAAAUAAAUGAAUUUAAGGAAGAAACUCUGAAAUAAACUGGGGCUGAAUUAUACAGUAGCUGGCAUCACAAAAUUCUAAUCAAAGCUAGGGAAUUUAAUAACGAUCCCUGCCUAAAGACCUAAAAGCAUGUUCUUUUGUUACUUUGUUAACCAUCAUGAGUUUUCACUGUCCCUUCUGCUACUGCCUUCAAUGUAACACUACAAAUAGAUUAAUUACUAAGAGUAAAAGGUUUUGUCUCUUUUCUUUCUUUUUUUGUUUCUUUUUUAAAAAACUAAUUGUGAAAUAGCUAAUUUAAAAGGAUCUUUUUUUAAACAACAGUCUUAAAAAAAAAAAAAAGCUAAAUGUCAUAGUGCCCUAAAUUCUUUUGUGUCGGUGAUUAUAUUGUAUGUCAAGAAACCAUCCCGAGGUGAUAAUUAGAUUUUAUCUGCAAAUGGAGGUGGGAGGAUGAGAGUAGGUAGUAGCGUCAAAAUUUCACCAAAACAAUAAGACAAUUCACACGACGAGGUAGGAAAAACAUUACUCAAACAGGCGGUUGGGGCUACUGUGUGAUUAAGGGAAUUUUGACACUAUAAUCAUCUAGGGUGGGUGUAUAUUUUAUUUGCCUCUCUAUGACCAGACAUUUAGGAAGGCAAACUGGAGCAAGAAAAAAUAGAAUGAUAACCAAAAUGUAAAAUAUCUCUGUGUUGAUCAUCAUGGAAGUGAAUAAAACAGGCCACAAAGACCCCUUUUUUCCCACAGAACUUUUCAACAGAUGGUUAUACUAGUUGUUUCAGAAUUAAUACCAAGGAUUGAGGGUUGGAGGCAUGUUAUUUAGAAGCGGUGCUGGUGUGAAAGUGACAAGGUUUUUGGCUCCAAGUAACACCUCCCAAUUUGUACAGCAACCACAAAUGUGCUUCAGGCAAGGUGGCGUCCUACAUUUUAACUUACCCCCAAGAAAAUAUCCUGAAUUUCACAGGUGUUCUCAGUAAUAUGACCUGACUGAAAAUAGCUUCUAUUCUGUAUUUUUCCCCAGGUUAAAAUUAAGCUCGGCAGGCUCGAUGUAAAUGUGCAGACAAAGCAAAGCAGGAAGCCUCCCACACUAAAAAGGGAAGAUAAGAAUCACAGAAGCCGGGAUGGUUUUUAUUGAAGGGCAUUUCAAAGCAAAUACAGACAUCUACAGCAUAUUUGUAAAUCCUCCGUAUGUGUAUGGAAACACACACCUUCACACAUCAAAACUGGAUUUGUUCCUGAGUAAUAAAACGUCCUAAGAACAAAACGAAAGCAAACUGAAUAGCAGAAAAAUACUUCCAUCGUAUACCACACAGGAUUAUUUAUUAACCUCAACACACCAAGAGUUAAGAAAAUAAUGCAACAGGAACAAAGGGCAAUGGAUACGUACCGGGAAGACCACAGAGAAAGAAAAUGCAAAAAUGGCUAAUAAUAUAAAAUAUUUCCUAGGUUCUAUAGUAACCAGGGAAAGACAAAAUUACACUUUUGACCUCUUAGACUGGCAGUGACAAAGGUUAUUUGAGUGACCAAACUUUAGUCAGGCUCCUGGAUCUUCUAGGCCCAUCUGGGCACUUCCUCAUAAAAUACAGUUUUAGCAAACGCCCUGCUAAAUUGGUUUACCAAGAACUCCUACCCUCAGUGGAGUUCCUUAUCUCUUCACCUUUCCUCAGGUGAGGCCUGAUCAUCCUGGCCUAUCUUCAGCAAGAGGGCCCUGACCGUGACGUUUCCUCUUAGUAAAUUUCCAUCCACUGACACUCACUCACAGUUUAUAGCCAGGAGCAAGCUCCUUGGGUUUAAAUUAUUUUCCCUGUUAUAUUCAGAGUUGAGCCCAAUCCCUCUCUCCGACUACAAAAUCUGAUAGCAGUAGUCCCUAUACCUAUUGCAAUGGUCCCAAAUAAAACCUGCCUUACUGUG